GACGAACGCUGGCGGCGUGCUUAACACAUGCAAGUCGAACGGAAAGGCCCUGCUUUUGUGGGGUGCUCGAGUGGCGAACGGGUGAGUAACACGUGAGUAACCUGCCCUUGACUUUGGGAUAACUUCAGGAAACUGGGGCUAAUACCGGAUAGGAGCUCCUGCUGCAUGGUGGGGGUUGGAAAGUUUCGGCGGUUGGGGAUGGACUCGCGGCUUAUCAGCUUGUUGGUGGGGUAGUGGCUUACCAAGGCUUUGACGGGUAGCCGGCCUGAGAGGGUGACCGGCCACAUUGGGACUGCGGUACGGCCCAGACGCCUACGGGAGGCAGCAGUGGGGAAUAUUGCACAAUGGGCGGAAGCCUGAUGCAGCAACGCCGCGUGCGGGAUGACGGCCUUCGGGUUGUAAACCGCUUUCGCCUGUGACGAAGCGUGAGUGACGGUAAUGGGUAAAGAAGCACCGGCUAACUACGUG
RNAcentral lists this ribosomal RNA (468 nucleotides) under uncultured bacterium. Its description in RNAcentral is "partial 16S ribosomal RNA". It matches the Rfam family "Bacterial small subunit ribosomal RNA", at positions 28 to 507 of the family's 1533-position model. The record is from RNAcentral.